Long non-coding RNA from Oncorhynchus tshawytscha (Chinook salmon), 552 nucleotides. Lineage: Eukaryota; Metazoa; Chordata; Actinopteri; Salmoniformes; Salmonidae. The record is from Ensembl.
CGGGAACAGACGCGCUGGUGCCGUCCUACCGCAUUCAAGUGCAGCUUAUAGUGUUGGCGCCGCAGCUGCCAAAAUACAAACCUAGUAACCUAUGCUGUUAUAGGCACAUUUUUCCAACUGACAUCUAGGCUAAAUACCGCGGGAUGUCUGAAACCCGACCGGGACUUCUGACUGUGUGAGGAAUAACAUUCAUUACAGGAGGAUACCAUUCUGACCAGACCAGGAGACAGACAGAGAGAAGGAGAGAAAGAGAGAUAAAGCCCUUGAAUUGAAUUGAAUUGAGAGAGAGAAGAAACUGAAAGAGAGAGAGAGAGAGAAGAAGAAACUGAAAGAGAGAGAGAGAGAGAGAGAGAAGAAAAAUAAGAUAUUUGGGAUGGUGGCAGCGUUCCAACAUUCCCACCUCUGUUCCAGACGUUCCUCCCUACUCCUGGUCUCUUUGGGAAGCACAAACGGAACCAAAGAACCCAAACUUUCCUCACUCCUCUACCUGCGUGGAAGUUAAUCCAUCCCAUUCCCUCUAAUUCCCACUAUCCCCUUCUUCCCACCCCUCUC